This is a long non-coding RNA of Tympanuchus pallidicinctus (lesser prairie-chicken), 2530 nucleotides long. RefSeq lists it as uncharacterized. The transcript has 2 exons. NCBI's taxonomy places the organism in Eukaryota, Metazoa, Chordata, Aves, Galliformes, Phasianidae. The record is from RefSeq and is a predicted model, not a curated record.
GAAAAGGCUGUUACUGACUCAGAUGAGGCAGUCGGCUGUUUUGACAAUAUCAUUAUCCAGACUUACGUAUAUAUCUUUCAACUUCACUCAAGGUCUAAUGCUCCUCUGUCACUCCAAAGGCUUAAGGGUUAAUAAUUUUGCAAGUACUCAAUUCUCAAAGACAAGGGAGCAAUUUCAAAUUGACUUUCAAAUACAUUCAUGGAAACUGUGUGUCCUGUCUCAGAAAGAAUAAUCCACUACAUUCGCAUAUAAACAGAAUCCUUAAAUAUGCAACAGAUGUUCCAUUUUUUUGUAAAGCCCUUGAAUUCAUUGACAGGCCUUCGGCUAAACUGAAGAAUUAAUUUGUUCAGGGCAGAUUUCAUAAAUCCUCUAAUAAUUCUUGCCCUUACACAUCUUGACUUGAUUUCUGAGAUCUACAGCAUGUGUUUUAAAUGUUUUAACCUUUACUACUUUAAUCAGGUAACAUUUAUUUCAGGACUGGAUGAUGAUCGGUCACUGAAAGAUAUAGUUGACUGGGAAAUAAAAUCCAAUUUGUCAGUUAAACAAAAGUGCUCUACAUCUGAAAUAAGAAGAAAUCAGUCUGUGUUACUGGAUCCCUGAAAUACUUAGUGGUUUUGACAUCAGUCUCCUUCUCAAGGAUACAUAGUGCUGAAUUGCUAAGUAUUGCUGAAUGUAGUACUGGUAUGCAGAAAACCGCUGUCACUAUGCUUAUGUAAAGCUGAUUUUCUGGGGGUAGUUUCAAUGUAAGUAUUUAAUUUUAUGCUGAAAGUUAUUUGUAUCUUUUAAAGUUAUACUUAUUUUUAAUAUUCAGAGGUUACCAAUUUAAACAGUAAUGAAAUUAGCCAGAAAAACAAGUUUUGUUUAAGAUACUUGCUUCAUAGACGUCUUUUUCUAUAGUAACGCCUCUAAUGUAAUUAUAUCAAAGAAUUCAAGGUGGUUUUAUUAAUAGAUGUGCAAUAAGAUAUAAAGUUUUUAUAUAUAAAGUUUUUUUCAUUCACUGCUAGACAACUGAUAUGCUGCCUGUCCUCUCGAUAAAUCAUUAUAUGUUUUCUAUAAUAGACAUCCAGAGGUACGAAUCUACAAUCUGUAAAAUACAAUGGACAUACAUUACAUGUAUAUUAUUUUUAUUUCUGAUGAAAGCCUUUAGCAGAUCAAAAGGUCAUUUCUUUUGCCUCUUCCAUAACGUUUGUCACUAUUUGGAAUAGAUGUCCCAUGGACUUUUCUGAAUCAUCAUAAAAAGCAGCCAAAAGUACAAAACCAAGUGUCUAGAAACAGGAGACCUAGCAAAGUUUGUUCAUUUUUCCCUUGAUAUUGUCCACCAGGUUCUUUCUUGAUAGUUUCUCCUUUGCAAUAAGAGGUCCUUUAAAAGCUGCGAUCUGGAGAAGUCAAUCAAAAUCUCUUGGUAGCUUUGCAGUCUGCGUUUUGCUCUGUCUUGUUGAAGAGAAAACAGAAACUCAUACAAGCAAGCCAGUUUAAGAGUAGGUUAAACUUAAUAUCCAAUGAUAGGCUGAAACUCUUAUCUGCAAAUGAUGACAGUUUAUGAUGCCUACUUUCAUAAGCACCAUAACUGUAGUCUCUUAGGAUGAGCAGUAGCACAUGAAUUGAGACCAGGAGAAAAGACUUGUACUUAGUUCCUAUAGAAUCAAAAUCCUGCAUUAAAAAGAAAAGGCCUUAUUGUAACUUUUAAUGCAUAUAUAUGUAAAAUAAAUAUAAAGCAGUUCAGACAUCUGGGUUGAUGACAUAUAGUAUGAUUUCAAUUUUAUUUCCUUCUCAUCUUCCCUUUCUUUUCACUUCAGAAAAGAUUCCAGAGGGCAGCUAGAAUUAGUUGCCUAAUGGGUAAGCUCCAGGCUUUCAAAAAGACCUGCAAGAAAUACCAGAGCUGACACAGAAAUCCAUAUGCAUAUUUGCUGAUUCACAAAAUUAUUUAUGUCCAAGCUUCCUACAGAUGGAGCUAGAAUGCAGAUUGUAAAGGCCUGUUAUUUUUCAUAACAGAUAAAGGGGUGUCAUCUUUACAGAUGGACUCCUUGUUUAGAUGCCUUAUGUUCUGUCUCUAAUUUAUUUGUUUAACAAGCAAGUAAUUUUCAGAAAAGGUUAGUUUUAAAGGUACAGCUUUUGCUAAGUCAAGUUUCAUGUCAAUUAAGUGUUUUUUCAAAUUGCUGGUAGUCAUUUUCUUCCCAUUUAAUGCUAAUAUAUUUAGCCUAUUAAUUCUUUCAAUCCUUUCUUUAAUACGGUGACUAAUGCAGAAAGAGAAAAAAAAACAAAGAACAUAUUUGAAGUAAAGAGAAAUAGGCUCAUUCUCAUUGAUACAUCAUUUUGCUAUCGUGUGCCUUCUGAUACUUUGCCUUUUCUGUUCUAUGUCUAUAUUAUUAGCUUUUUCGAUCAAAGCCAUAUUUUUCCAUAUAGAAUUAUAUGAACAAUAUUGUAAAACCUUUGGUUUCAUAAAAGGACAAAUGUCUGUAAUUUGAUUUUUCUCAGACUUCUCCAGAAAACAAAAGAGUUGUAUUAAAUAGCGUCUUUCAAAUUCUUCAGA